Molecule: ribosomal RNA, 328 nt
Filed under: Haplosporidium edule
Lineage: Eukaryota; Endomyxa; Ascetosporea; Haplosporida; Haplosporidiidae
Description: SSU rRNA
Rfam family: Eukaryotic small subunit ribosomal RNA
Source: RNAcentral
UGAUUCUAUGCAUAGUGGUGCAUGGCCGUUCUUAGUCGGUGGAGUGAUCUGUCUGGUUAAUUCCGAUAACGGACGAGACCCCUACCAUCUAACUAGUUGUCGCUAGUCUACUAGCGUCCGCUUGCGGGCUCAACUUCUUAGAGGGACAAACUGCGUCCAGCAGUGGGAAGUCUGGGGCCAUAACAGGUCAGUGAUGCCCUUAUAAGGUCUGGGCUGCACGCGCACUACAAUGGCGCAUGCAACGAGCAUAACCUGGCCUGAGAAGGUCGGGUAAUCUGCAACGUGCGUCCAAGUUGGGAUCGAUGAUUGCAAUUAUUCAUCUUGAACA